CUACUAUCAAGAAUCUGGAACAAGGUCAGCAGGACCCAAAAGCUUUUUUUCCAUUGUGAGAGAACGGGAGCCUCUAGGACCACCCAAUGUGAAUACUCGUUUAUUUUCCACGUGUGUGUGAUGCCAAGCAUUUUGAUGUAGGUCUGCGGGACCAGCCCUCAGGA
This is a long non-coding RNA of Eptesicus fuscus (big brown bat), 164 nucleotides long. RefSeq lists it as uncharacterized. The transcript has 3 exons. The record is from RefSeq and is a predicted model, not a curated record. Lineage: Eukaryota; Metazoa; Chordata; Mammalia; Chiroptera; Vespertilionidae.